Molecule: long non-coding RNA, 258 nt
Filed under: Setaria viridis
Lineage: Eukaryota; Viridiplantae; Streptophyta; Magnoliopsida; Poales; Poaceae
Description: long non-coding RNA (SVIR_LNC001969)
Source: RNAcentral
GAUGAUAUGGAGCAUGAUAUAGAGCUAUUAGCAGAUCAGCUUUAUGAUAUAGAUAUGGAGCUAGCCAAUGCCAACGAGCACUUAGAUGGGCAUCACGUAAAGUUGGAUGCACUACGUGCACAGCAGGCAUAGGCCGAGCCCAUGGAGGAGGAGGAGGAGCUGAGGAGAUCAAGGGCUACUCGAGUAUGGACUUUGAGGCCAUUGCACCACCACCACCGAGUGGAGCUGCUCACUCCCCCGUGCUCAGCUUAGCUUCGU